Cinara cedri is the source of this 213-nucleotide non-coding RNA. NCBI's taxonomy places the organism in Eukaryota, Metazoa, Arthropoda, Insecta, Hemiptera, Aphididae. The record is from the annotation of a GenBank genome assembly.
CCCUAGGAUUAUUUCGGUCGUACAGUUCGCAUUAGUGGUAUCCGUUGAGUUAACCCGUAUUGAGUCCGGCGGCGGUCGUCCGAGAAUUCGCUCAGGAACUCUCGAACCGUAAAACCGUGCGCCCAAAUGGUUCCGUUGCCUCGGGCGACGCCACCGAUAGAGCGUACAAGGCGGCCCGCGGGUUAGGGCACCGUCGAUACGCACAGUUACGGU